AACGCAUAUGGCACCUUUUGGUUCUUACUAAAAGGUAUGCCUGUUUGAGAAUCAUUUCCACACUAUUCCCCAUUCCAUUCUUUGUUCAUCAAGGAAGGGAAAAGGGGGGACACAUGGACCUUCAUCAUUGAUCGUCUUGAAUUCAUGCACGGGGUUGUUCGUGAUAGAUGAUUGAAUCCCUGGAUUCUAUUGUGAUCGAUCAAUCCCCAUCAUUUAUACAUACAAUGAUCUCAAAUCAGGCAAGACUACCCGCUGAACUUAA
RNAcentral lists this unclassified non-coding RNA (262 nucleotides) under Penicillium sp. Its description in RNAcentral is "partial contains 5.8S ribosomal RNA, internal transcribed spacer 2, and large subunit ribosomal RNA". The record is from RNAcentral. Lineage: Eukaryota; Fungi; Ascomycota; Eurotiomycetes; Eurotiales; Aspergillaceae.